This 1825-nucleotide ribosomal RNA is filed under the name Escherichia coli. RNAcentral's name for it is "partial 23S ribosomal RNA". It matches the Rfam family "Bacterial large subunit ribosomal RNA", at positions 44 to 1896 of the family's 2925-position model. The record is from RNAcentral. Lineage: Bacteria; Pseudomonadati; Pseudomonadota; Gammaproteobacteria; Enterobacterales; Enterobacteriaceae.
AGGCGAUGAAGGACGUGCUAAUCUGCGAUAAGCGUCGGUGAGGUGAUAUGAACCGUUAUAACCGGCGAUUUCCGAAUGGGGAAACCCAGUGUGUUUCGACACACUAUCAUUAACUGAAUCCAUAGGUUAAUGAGGCGAACCGGGGGAACUGAAACAUCUAAGUACCCCGAGGAAAAGAAAUCAACCGAGAUUCCCCCAGUAGCGGCGAGCGAACGGGGAGGAGCCCAGAGCCUGAAUCAGUGUGUGUGUUAGUGGAAGCGUCUGGAAAGGCGUGCGAUACAGGGUGACAGCCCCGUACACAAAAAUGCACAUAUUGUGAGCUCGAUGAGUAGGGCGGGACACGUGGUAUCCUGUCUGAAUAUGGGGGGACCAUCCUCCAAGGCUAAAUACUCCUGACUGACCGAUAGUGAACCAGUACCGUGAGGGAAAGGCGAAAAGAACCCCGGCGAGGGGAGUGAAAAAGAACCUGAAACCGUGUACGUACAAGCAGUGGGAGCCUCUUAAUGGGGUGACUGCGUACCUUUUGUAUAAUGGGUCAGCGACUUAUAUUCUGUAGCAAGGUUAACCGAAUAGGGGAGCCGAAGGGAAACCGAGUCUUAACUGGGCGUUAAGUUGCAGGGUAUAGACCCGAAACCCGGUGAUCUAGCCAUGGGCAGGUUGAAGGUUGGGUAACACUAACUGGAGGACCGAACCGACUAAUGUUGAAAAAUUAGCGGAUGACUUGUGGCUGGGGGUGAAAGGCCAAUCAAACCGGGAGAUAGCUGGUUCUCCCCGAAAGCUAUUUAGGUAGCGCCUCGUGAAUUCAUCUCCGGGGGUAGAGCACUGUUUCGGCAAGGGGGUCAUCCCGACUUACCAACCCGAUGCAAACUGCGAAUACCGGAGAAUGUUAUCACGGGAGACACACGGCGGGUGCUAACGUCCGUCGUGAAGAGGGAAACAACCCAGACCGCCAGCUAAGGUCCCAAAGUCAUGGUUAAGUGGGAAACGAUGUGGGAAGGCCCAGACAGCCAGGAUGUUGGCUUAGAAGCAGCCAUCAUUUAAAGAAAGCGUAAUAGCUCACUGGUCGAGUCGGCCUGCGCGGAAGAUGUAACGGGGCUAAACCAUGCACCGAAGCUGCGGCAGCGACACUAUGUGUUGUUGGGUAGGGGAGCGUUCUGUAAGCCUGUGAAGGUGGCCUGUGAGGGUUGCUGGAGGUAUCAGAAGUGCGAAUGCUGACAUAAGUAACGAUAAAGCGGGUGAAAAGCCCGCUCGCCGGAAGACCAAGGGUUCCUGUCCAACGUUAAUCGGGGCAGGGUGAGUCGACCCCUAAGGCGAGGCCGAAAGGCGUAGUCGAUGGGAAACAGGUUAAUAUUCCUGUACUUGGUGUUACUGCGAAGGGGGGACGGAGAAGGCUAUGUUGGCCGGGCGACGGUUGUCCCGGUUUAAGCGUGUAGGCUGGUUUUCCAGGCAAAUCCGGAAAACCAAGGCUGAGGCGUGAUGACGAGGCACUACGGUGCUGAAGCGACAAAUGCCCUGCUUCCAGGAAAAGCCUCUAAGCAUCAGGUAACAUCAAAUCGUACCCCAAACCGACACAGGUGGUCAGGUAGAGAAUACCAAGGCGCUUGAGAGAACUCGGGUGAAGGAACUAGGCAAAAUGGUGCCGUAACUUCGGGAGAAGGCACGCUGAUAUGUAGGUGAAGCGACUUGCUCGUGGAGCUGAAAUCAGUCGAAGAUACCAGCUGGCUGCAACUGUUUAUUAAAAACACAGCACUGUGCAAACACGAAAGUGGACGUAUACGGUGUGACGCCUGCCCGGUGCCGGAAGGUUAAUUGAUGGGGUUAGCGG